GGAGCCCGGCUGUUUAUUCAUUCACGUCAGUCCCUCCUCCUCCGUCCCCUUCCUUCCUGCUCCGCGCCACGGCUCUCCGCCGCUCCAACUCUCCCCCGAUAUCCACCAUAAUAUUCACUAUCAUCACAGUCACGUCGCCACCAUAAACCCAUUUUGGAAUCAGGUUUCAGUAACUGGAUGAAGGUACCGGAUUGAGAGAAGGUGGUCGGGCCAGAGAUAAGAAGAUUGCAUGAGAAAAAGGAAAGAAACAGAAUUAGGGAUGAAAAAGAGGGGGGAGGGAGAGGAAGGUAGGGGGAGAGAGAGGAAGGUAGGGGGAGAGAGAGGAAGGUAGGGGGAGAGAGAGGGAGAGAUGGAUGGAGAUGGAGAGAGAGCAAAGGGUGAACUGUAUCCAUGGAAACAUGAGGAAAGAGUGAUGGAAGAGAGAAUGAGAGGAGAAAGAGUGAUGUAGUUUGGAACUGAGUUGGAGAGUGGUAGAAUGAAAUGGUAUGGCUGCCAUUGCUGCACCUCCAAGUGCCUCCAUGCUUACUGAGAUACGGCUUUUUGCAAAAUACCCAUCUUCUCCAAUCAUUGUUUUUAAUUGUAUAGCUUUCUAAUGAUGUUCUUCAUCGGGCAACUCCAAAUCAGCUGAGCAUAGACAAAAUCAUAUGGCAAUUAAAUAAAUAAAGAGCCUACUUAUA
Molecule: long non-coding RNA, 677 nt
Organism: Gadus morhua (Atlantic cod)
Lineage: Eukaryota; Metazoa; Chordata; Actinopteri; Gadiformes; Gadidae
Exons: 2
Source: RefSeq, a predicted model, not a curated record